Molecule: ribosomal RNA, 491 nt
Filed under: uncultured bacterium
Lineage: Bacteria
Description: partial 16S ribosomal RNA
Rfam family: Bacterial small subunit ribosomal RNA
Source: RNAcentral
AGUGAACGCUGGCGGUAUGCCUAACACAUGCAAGUCGAACGGCAGCACAGUAAGAGCUUGCUCUUACGGGUGGCGAGUGGCGGACGGGUGAGGAAUACAUCGGAAUCUACUUUUUCGUGGGGGAUAACGUAGGGAAACUUACGCUAAUACCGCAUACGACCUACGGGUGAAAGCAGGGGAUCUUCGGACCUUGCGCGUUUGAAUGAGCCGAUGUCGGAUUAGCUAGUUGGCGGGGUAAAGGCCCACCAAGGCGACGAACCGUAGCGGGUCUGAGAGGAUGAUCGGCCACAGGGGAACGGAGAAAGGGUCCAGACUCCAACGGGAGGAGGAGGUGGGGAAUAUUGGACAAGGGGGGAAGGCCUGCUCAGGCCAGACCGCGUGGGGGAAGAAGGCCUUGGGGUUGUAAAGCCUUUUGUUGGGAAAGAAAAGCAGCAGGUUAAUACCCCGCUGUUCUGACGGUACCCAAAGAAUAAGCACCGGCUAACUUCGUG